AGGGUUGUGGCUCAGUGGUAGAGCGCUUGCUGAGCAAGCAUGAGGCACUGGGUUCCAUCCCAGCACCACAU
Molecule: non-coding RNA, 71 nt
Organism: Ictidomys tridecemlineatus (thirteen-lined ground squirrel)
Lineage: Eukaryota; Metazoa; Chordata; Mammalia; Rodentia; Sciuridae
Source: Rfam